Non-coding RNA from Podarcis lilfordi (Lilford's wall lizard), 340 nucleotides. The record is from the annotation of a GenBank genome assembly. NCBI's taxonomy places the organism in Eukaryota, Metazoa, Chordata, Lepidosauria, Squamata, Lacertidae.
GUCUUGCGAAGCAAGCCCACAGGAAAUUCGCUUUGCGAAGCGCCUCCAAAACGGAAAACCCUUUCGUCUAGCGGGUUUUUCGUCUUGCGAGGCGUUCGUCUUGCGGGGCACCACUGUACUCUAAGGUCAUACUACAGUCCCCAUGUUUGGAUAUAAAGAAGAACUAUGGUUUAAUAAACUGAGACCUAAUUGUGGAGCAUCAGAGAAAGGAGGAAGCACAUACAGUGGUACCUCGCAAGACGAAUGCCUCGCAAGACGGAAAACUCGCAAAACGAAAGGGUUUUUGGUUUUUUGAGUUGCUUCGCAAGACGAUUUUCCCUAUGGGUUUGCUUCGCAAGAC